GACGAACGCUGGCGGCGUGCUUAACACAUGCAAGUCGAACGGAAAGGCCCUGCUUGCAGGGUACUCGAGUGGCGAACGGGUGAGUAACACGUGGGUGAUCUGCCCUGCACUUCGGGAUAAGCCUGGGAAACUGGGUCUAAUACCGGAUAGGAGCCAUUUUUAGUGUGAUUGUUGGAAAGUUUUUUCGGUGUAGGAUGAGCUCGCGGCCUAUCAGCUUGUUGGUGGGGUAAUGGCCUACCAAGGCGGCGACGGGUAGCCGGCCUGAGAGGGUGGACGGCCACAUUGGGACUGAGAUACGGCCCAGACUCCUACGGGAGGCAGCAGUGGGGAAUAUUGCACAAUGGGCGCAAGCCUGAUGCAGCGACGCCGCGUGGGGGAUGACGGCCUUCGGGUUGUAAACUCCUUUCGCUAGGGACGAAGCUUUUUGUGACGGUACCUAGAUAAGAAGCACCGGCUAACUACGUG
RNAcentral lists this ribosomal RNA (465 nucleotides) under uncultured bacterium. RNAcentral describes it as "partial 16S ribosomal RNA". It matches the Rfam family "Bacterial small subunit ribosomal RNA", at positions 28 to 507 of the family's 1533-position model. The record is from RNAcentral.